RNAcentral lists this microRNA precursor (88 nucleotides) under Notechis scutatus (mainland tiger snake). RNAcentral describes it as "microRNA 125b-2 (ENSNSUG00000016794.1)". The stretch from base 7 to 76 matches the Rfam family "lin-4 microRNA precursor family", at positions 1 to 71 of the family's 80-position model. From Rfam's summary of the family: The extents of the hairpin precursors are not generally known and are estimated based on hairpin prediction. The products are thought to have regulatory roles through complementarity to mRNA. The involvement of Dicer in miRNA processing suggests a relationship with the phenomenon of RNA interference. Lineage: Eukaryota; Metazoa; Chordata; Lepidosauria; Squamata; Elapidae. The record is from RNAcentral.
GACUUUUCCUAGUCCCUGAGACCCUAACUUGUGAGGUUUUUAGUAACAAUCACAAGUCAGGCUCUUGGGACCUAGGCGGAGGGGAACC